This 930-nucleotide ribosomal RNA is filed under the name Funneliformis mosseae. RNAcentral's name for it is "LSU rRNA". It matches the Rfam family "Eukaryotic large subunit ribosomal RNA", at positions 1 to 779 of the family's 3401-position model. The record is from RNAcentral. Lineage: Eukaryota; Fungi; Glomeromycota; Glomeromycetes; Glomerales; Glomeraceae.
GACCUCAAAUCAGGUAAGAAUACCCGCUGAACUUAAGCAUAUCAAUAAGCGGAGGAAAAGAAAAUAACAAUGAUUCCCUCAGUAACGGCGAGCGAAGAGGGAUAAGCUCAAAUUUUAAAUCUGUUGGGUUCCGCUUAACAGAGUUGUAUUUUGAAGAAACGUUUUCUGCAUCCAGGAUUAGCCUAAAUCCUUUGGGAUAAGGUAUCAUGGAGGGUGAGAAUCCCGUUCAUGGUUAAUCUUAAGGAAGCUCUACGAUACGUUUUCCAAGAGUCGAGUUGUUUGGGAUUGCAGCUCAAAAUGGGAGGUAAAUUUCUCCUAAGGCUAAAUAUUGGCGAGAGACCGAUAGCGAACAAGUACCGUGAGGGAAAGAUGAAAAGAACUUUGAAAAGAGAGUUAAACAGUACGUGAAAUUGUUGAAAGGGAAACGAUUGAAGUCAGUCAUACCAACGGGAAAUCAACCUUUUGAGCUUGGUCUCGUGGGUUUUGAAGAGUUUCAAAGCCUUCGGACUCGCGGGAUUGGGAUCUCUUGGUGUACUUUCUCGUACGGUUAGUCAACAUCGGUUUUGAAUGUCAUAAAAUGACUGGAGGAAUGUAGCUUCUUGAAGUGUUAUAGCCUUUGGUAGAUGUGAUGUUUGAGACCGAGGAUUGCAACGGAUACCCUUCAGGGCUAUUCGUCUGAUCUCUGAUACGUUGCCUUGAUGUUGAAAGCUUGCUUAUGAUGUCAGGGUAUUACGGUCAAAAGGUUAGAACGAAUUACAUUCGUUAAGGAUGUUGACGUAAUGACUUUAAACGACCCGUCUUGAAACACGGACCAAGGAGUCUAACAUAUAUGCGAGUGUUUGGGUGAUUAAACCCUUGCGCGUAAUGAAAGUAAUUUUGGUGAGAUCCGGGAAAAAAUUUUCGGAGCAUCAUCGACCGAUCAGGAUAUUU